AUUGAACGCUGGCGGCAGGCUUAACACAUACAAGUCGGGCGAGCGGCGGACGGGUGAGUAAUGUCUGGGAACCUGGCUGGUGGAGGGGGAUAACUAAUGGAAACGUUAGCUAAUACCGCAUAACAUUAGAUCGGCCCAACUGGGAUUAGCUAGUAGGUGGGGUAAUGGCUCACCCAGGCGACGAUCCCUAGCGGGUCUGAGAGGAUGACCAGCCACACUGGAACUGAGACACGGUCCAGACUCCUACGGGAGGCAGCAGUGGGGAAUAUUUCACAAUGGGCGCAAGCCUGAUGCAGCCAUGCCGCGUGUGUGAAGAAGGCUUUCGGGUUGUAAAGCACUUUCAGCGAGGAGGCGUUACUCGCAGAAGAAGCACCGGCUAACUCCGUGCCAGCCGCCGCGGUAAUAC
This 406-nucleotide ribosomal RNA is filed under the name uncultured bacterium. RNAcentral describes it as "partial 16S ribosomal RNA". It matches the Rfam family "Bacterial small subunit ribosomal RNA", at positions 30 to 526 of the family's 1533-position model. The record is from RNAcentral.